UAGGGGUUUGAUUAUGGCUCAGGAUGAACGCUAGCGGUAUGCUUAACACAUGCAAGUCGUACGAGAUUCUUUGACUCUAGUGGCGGACGGGUGAGUAACGCGUGAGAAUUCGCCCAUAGGAGAGAAAUAACAGUAGGAAACCGCUGCUAAAGUCCCAUAUACCUUUUGGUGAAACAGAGUAAUCUGCCUAUGGAGAAGCUCGCGUCUGAUUAGCUAGUUGGUGGGGUAAAGGCCUACCAAGGCGAUGAUCAGUAGUUGGUCUGAGAGGAUGAUCAGCCACACUGGGACUGAGACACGGCCCAGACUCCUACGGGAGGCAGCAGUGAGGAAUUUUCCGCAAUGGACGGAAGUCUGACGCAGCAACGCCGCGUGAUCGAUGAAGCAUCUAGGAGUGUAAAGAUCUGUCGUGAAAAAGAAAAAUCUGGAUGUAAAUAAGUUCAGACUUGACGGUACCUUACAGAAAGCACCGGCUAACAUCGUGCCAGCCGCCGCGGUAAUACAAUCG
RNAcentral lists this ribosomal RNA (505 nucleotides) under uncultured cyanobacterium. RNAcentral's name for it is "bacterial SSU rRNA". It matches the Rfam family "Bacterial small subunit ribosomal RNA", at positions 1 to 531 of the family's 1533-position model. The record is from RNAcentral. Lineage: Bacteria; Bacillati; Cyanobacteriota.